UUUCCGUAGGUGAACCUGCGGAAGGAUCAUUAGUGAAUGGAAUCUGUGAGAGGACCUCUUCGCAAGCCCUAGCAUCAAAUCAUAUCCGUAACACCUCUGGACAGUAAGUUUGCCAAGAAAACGAAAGUGAAUAGAGCGCCAGCCUAUUUUAUACAAACAUUAAACUAACAAACGUAGUCAUAUUAUAAUAUAACAAAACUUUCAACAACGGAUCUCUUGGCUCUC
Molecule: unclassified non-coding RNA, 225 nt
Filed under: plant metagenome
Description: partial contains small subunit ribosomal RNA, internal transcribed spacer 1, and 5.8S ribosomal RNA
Source: RNAcentral